RNAcentral lists this transfer RNA (66 nucleotides) under Saldula burmanica. RNAcentral's name for it is "tRNA-Arg". The record is from RNAcentral. Lineage: Eukaryota; Metazoa; Arthropoda; Insecta; Hemiptera; Saldidae.
AAGUAAUGAAGUAAAAAAUUACAUUUAGUUUCGACCUAAAAAAUAGAGGUUAAACCUCCUUACUUA